AUUGAACGCUGGCGGCAUGCCUUACACAUGCAAGUCGAACGGCAGCACGGGAGCAAUCCUGGUGGCGAGUGGCGAACGGGUGAGUAAUAUAUCGGAACGUGCCCAGUCGUGGGGGAUAACGUAGCGAAAGCUACGCUAAUACCGCAUACGAUCUAUGGAUGAAAGCGGGGGAUCGCAAGACCUCGCGCGAUUGGAGCGGCCGAUAUCAGAUUAGGUAGUUGGUGAGGUAAAGGCUCACCAAGCCGACGAUCUGUAGCUGGUCUGAGAGGACGACCAGCCACACUGGGACUGAGACACGGCCCAGACUCCUACGGGAGGCAGCAGUGGGGGAAUUUUUGGACAAUGGGCGCAAGCCUGAUCCAGCAAUGCCGCGUGCAGGAUGAAGGCCUUCGGUUGGUUAAC
RNAcentral lists this ribosomal RNA (402 nucleotides) under uncultured bacterium. Its description in RNAcentral is "bacterial SSU rRNA". It matches the Rfam family "Bacterial small subunit ribosomal RNA", at positions 30 to 430 of the family's 1533-position model. The record is from RNAcentral.